This is a long non-coding RNA of Zingiber officinale, 357 nucleotides long. RefSeq lists it as uncharacterized. The record is from RefSeq and is a predicted model, not a curated record. NCBI's taxonomy places the organism in Eukaryota, Viridiplantae, Streptophyta, Magnoliopsida, Zingiberales, Zingiberaceae. The transcript has 2 exons.
CAGCCCUCACCCCCUUCCUUAUCUCCCUCAAUCGUCAGACGUUGCUCUCAACCCUCACCCUCUUCCUUAUCGUCCUCAAUCGUCACACGUUGCCCUCAGCACUUACCCCCUUCCCUGUCACCCUCAACUUGAUUAUAGGAACAUCAGUUUGGUUCUGUGGUGGAAGGUUGGUUUUCUACAUAACAUUAUAAGCUAGGCUUUGAAGAAAUCCUUAAGAGGAGCUGCUGGAAUUGGGUUUACACUACGGUGAAAGCUGACAAGUUAUGUCUGUAGAAGAGUCAUCUGUUCCACUUACCGUAAAUAGUGCCAUAACUGAAAGUAAUGAAGUUAAUCUUGAGAUCAACAAGGAAAUUAUCA